AUGAUUCUGUGGGGUCUUCUCCUCUGCCUGGUGACAGCCCCCCUGGGUGUCCUGUCCCAGGUGCAGAUGCAGGAGUCGGGUCCAGGACUGGUGGCCCCCUCCCAGACCCUCUCCCUCACCUGCUCUGUCUCUGGUUACUCCAUCUCUUCGGGUUACUGCUGGGCAUGGAUCCGCCAGUCCCCAGGGAAGGGCCUGCUCUGGUUGGGGCACAUAUGUUAUAGUGGAAACACCUACUACAGCCCGACCUUCAAGAGCCGCGUCUCCAUCACCAGAGACACGAACAAGAACCAGUUCUCCCUGCAGCUGAGCUCAGUGACCCCAGAUGACACAGCCGUGUAUUACUGUGCUAAAGAGUAUCAUAUCACAGUGAGGGGAAGUCAGGGACUUCCCCAUGCGGCCCUUUCUCCGUAA
Molecule: non-coding RNA, 411 nt
Organism: Sorex araneus (European shrew)
Lineage: Eukaryota; Metazoa; Chordata; Mammalia; Eulipotyphla; Soricidae
Source: the annotation of a RefSeq genome assembly